GUAAAGCCCUCUGGGCCUAGGACAAGGUCUGGUUACAGCUAGGAGCCAGAGGAGUCCCUGUCAUCUCUGGGAUAGAGAACGCACAGAGCCUUAUUACACAUAGGAUGUGGAUGUGCUGUAAGUUUGAGUGCAGAAAUAGAAAAACAAAGCUUUUCCUUGGGAACACUGUUUCUGAGAGGUGAUUGACAUAUGUCAGGAUUAGAACAUUACUACUUCAAAGGACUUUUCCAUAGAGCUUUUAUGCUGUGUGACUCAAUGGUGAAUGCCUCAAACCCAUCCCAGCUUUCAAACAUUGCCAUUGCCUUAGUUCUGAGCCCAUGUCUUCUCAGGAGACAGAUGUUUCUGUCUGCCUCAGCACUACCUAGGAUUGCUGCUCAGCUGCUGACUGGAGCGGUCUGUUUAAGAGGAGAUGUGUGGUGUCCUGUGCGACUGUACACGGAGUGUUUCUGCCACUCCAGCGUAGGUUCUAGUGCAUUUGAGCUGAAAGCGUUAGGGAAUGCUAAUUCAGUCUGGCACUGAGGUCCCUGCGCAUUAAGAAGAGAAUAUGGAAAAGAAUUUAAAAAGUCAUUUUUUGGAUGAAAGCAAAGCCUUUUAUCGGGUGCAUAUAGUUUCUGUUCAUGAAAUUAAUGCUUCCAGCAGAGCCUAGAAAACAAAAAGAAUGGAACUACCUCUUUUAAUGGACUUAAGGAAAUGGAAAUAUUUGGCUUGGAAAAAAAAAA
Molecule: long non-coding RNA, 719 nt
Filed under: Rattus norvegicus (Norway rat)
Lineage: Eukaryota; Metazoa; Chordata; Mammalia; Rodentia; Muridae
Description: long non-coding RNA NONRATT009019
Source: RNAcentral